Molecule: non-coding RNA, 597 nt
Organism: Meleagris gallopavo (turkey)
Lineage: Eukaryota; Metazoa; Chordata; Aves; Galliformes; Phasianidae
Source: RefSeq, a predicted model, not a curated record
UUGACUCUUCUUAAGAAACCUUUUGUCCAAGUUGUUUUGGUGUGAUCUCAUCAGUUUGACUCUUUGGUGCUUUAUGAAGUUGGAGCUCAAGGGUUGGCUUUAUAGUGCUUCACUUCUCAUUGGUGUUGCUCUUUUAUGUUAGACUUCAUUGCUGCUCAUUCACUGAGGAAAAAUGAUAAACACAGGUUGCAGCUCCUGCUGCAUACUUCCAUCACCUCAUCUGUGGCCUGAAAAGAAGAACAAAUGAGAGGGAAGUGUGGCUGCAGAGAUAGAGGGUCAACAUUGGACAAAAUCCAGCUGGGAUCCAGUGCCAUCUUCACUUCAGUGAUGCAGUGGGAUCAUGCUAUCCCCAUGCUAGUAACACAGGAGCAGGAGGUUGUAUGGGCUGCCCUGUCUCUUCUUUGGGUAUGUUGAAUGGCAACUCUGUUUCUUCGGUGAGAUCACAAAAUAGUUUUGAAAAACUGAUUCCACUUUUAUUUUAAUAAACUGCGGAGAAACUCAUUCUGGAAUGACAAGUGAAACCUGUUAUUCCUCUACUGCUUUUUCUACUGAGCUUGCAGUGAUUAAAAUAGCUCUGCCCUUGCUUUCUUACUUAUA